RNAcentral lists this long non-coding RNA (561 nucleotides) under Phoenix dactylifera (date palm). RNAcentral describes it as "long non-coding RNA (PDAC_LNC015806)". The record is from RNAcentral. Lineage: Eukaryota; Viridiplantae; Streptophyta; Magnoliopsida; Arecales; Arecaceae.
CAACGGCCAUUUCUUUUAGUAUUUUGCGGUCGAAAGGCCACGCGCUGUGGCACGAGUUGUGGCUCUUUCGGCCACAGUUCGUCAGAAAGUAUUCAAAGCGCAUGGCCUUUCGACCACGCACUUGUUUCGGUCUCCUUUUAAAAAAAAAACCACGACAGACGCGGUGAAGAGUCUGUCUCUCUCAUUCGGCUGUAAAAAUCGAACGAGAGCCUCGGCUAUCCAACAUAAAUGAAGUGCCUUCUGAGUCUCUGAGGGAUAACCAGCGAAGGGCAGAUAUGAAAGAUAGCCCACAAAUUGAGGAGCAGGUCGUUCUUAAAAAAUCAAGCUCAGACUAUUUAAGGUGUGAUUUCUUUUUCUUAUCUUAUUUCUUUAAUUUUGUUAAUAAGUAGCUUAAAAAAAUAGUUUAGAAAUUGCCAAAAAAAAGAUCCUGACAAAAUUUACUAUUUUGGCUUAAUUUUUUGAUAUGUUGUAGAUUUAUGGUUGGAAUGGAACCAUCAAGGAAAACUAACUCCACAAAGCGUGAUAUUGGCUGGUCGUAUGGGCGAAGAGUCGGGGAGCGGC